Molecule: RNase P RNA, 383 nt
Filed under: Bdellovibrio sp. ZAP7
Lineage: Bacteria; Pseudomonadati; Bdellovibrionota; Bdellovibrionia; Bdellovibrionales; Pseudobdellovibrionaceae
Description: RNase P RNA component class A
Rfam family: Bacterial RNase P class A
About the family: Ribonuclease P (RNase P) is a ubiquitous endoribonuclease, found in archaea, bacteria and eukarya as well as chloroplasts and mitochondria.
Source: RNAcentral
UCGGUUUUGCGGAUGAUCGCUCUAAUAAUACUCAAAUACUUGAUAUUAGGGAGGAAAGUCCGGACUCCAUAUGGCAGCGCAAGGGGUAACGCCCCUCUACAGUAAUGUAAGGAACAGUGGAACAGAGAGAAUGUCCGGGGCAUUGAGCCUGACACCGGGAACGGGAGGGUCAGGGGAGCCGCCGGAGUGAAAACAGCCAAACUCUGCGCGGAGCAAGAUCAAAUAGGGUGGCAUUAGUAGGACGGCCAGUCCGUAGCCACCGGGUAAGAUCGCUUGAGGGUGACAGUAAUGUCACUCCUAGAGGAAUGAUCAUCUAAUUUCAUCGGGACAAUUAUGGGACCAGGUGAGAUGGACAGAAUCCGGCUUAAAGCAAAACCUGACUC